GAGCGUAUAGCUCAGGGGUAGAGCAUUUGACUGCAGAUCAAGAGAUCCCCGGUUCAAAUCUGGGUGCCCCCU
Molecule: transfer RNA, 72 nt
Organism: Gorilla gorilla gorilla (western lowland gorilla)
Lineage: Eukaryota; Metazoa; Chordata; Mammalia; Primates; Hominidae
Rfam family: tRNA
About the family: Transfer RNA (tRNA) molecules are approximately 80 nucleotides in length. Their secondary structure includes four short double-helical elements and three loops (D, anti-codon, and T loops).
Source: Rfam